Molecule: transfer RNA, 72 nt
Filed under: Perkinsus olseni
Lineage: Eukaryota; Perkinsozoa; Perkinsida; Perkinsidae
Description: tRNA-Gly
Rfam family: tRNA
About the family: Transfer RNA (tRNA) molecules are approximately 80 nucleotides in length. Their secondary structure includes four short double-helical elements and three loops (D, anti-codon, and T loops). Further hydrogen bonds mediate the characteristic L-shaped molecular structure. tRNAs have two regions of fundamental functional importance: the anti-codon, which is responsible for specific mRNA codon recognition, and the 3' end, to which the tRNAs corresponding amino acid is attached (by aminoacyl-tRNA synthetases). tRNAs cope with the degeneracy of the genetic code in two manners: having more than one tRNA (with a specific anti-codon) for a particular amino acid; and 'wobble' base-pairing, i.e. permitting non-standard base-pairing at the 3rd anti-codon position.
Source: RNAcentral
CCACCCUUGGUCUAAUGGUUAGGAUAUCUGCCUUCCAAGCAGAUGGUCCGGGUUCAAUUCCCGGACGGUGCA